AAAUUUGCUGCCAUUCUUAUGAAAACAUUCGCAAACAAAUAUUGGUGGUGGCAUUCUUAUUCUUUCCAAAAGGAAGUUUAGAAAGCCCCUGCAAUAAAAUUUGCGUUACGAUAUAGUAUAAAAGGCUUACU
Molecule: non-coding RNA, 131 nt
Filed under: Algoriphagus machipongonensis
Lineage: Bacteria; Pseudomonadati; Bacteroidota; Cytophagia; Cytophagales; Cyclobacteriaceae
Source: RNAcentral